GCGAGAAAGCCCGCAAGGGUGAGUAAAGCGGCGCACGGGUGAGUAACACGUGGGUAAUCUUCCUUGGAGCCCGGAAUAACUCCCCGAAAGGGGUGCUAAUGCCGGAUGAGACCACGGGAUCUCCGGAUCCUGAGGGAAAAGGCGGCCUCUGUACACAAGCUGUCACUCCAAGAUGAGCCCGCGGCCCAUCAGCUAGUUGGCGGGGUAAUGGCCCACCAAGGCAUCGACGGGUAGCUGGUCUGAGAGGACGAUCAGCCACACUGGAACUGAGACACGGUCCAGACUCCUACGGGAGGCAGCAGUGGGGAAUUUUGCGCAAUGGGGGAAACCCUGACGCAGCAACGCCGCGUGAGUGAUGAAGGCCUUCGGGUCGUAAAGCUCUGUCAGAGGGAAAGAAAUGUGGGUGGCUAAUAUCCAUUCCGCUUGACGGUACCCUCAAAGGAAGCACCGGCUAACUCCGUGCCAGCAGCCGCGGUAAUACGGAGGGUGCGAGCGUUGUUCGGAAUUAUUGGGCGUAAAGCGCGUGUAGGCGGUUUUAUAAGUCUGAUGUGAAAGCCCCGGGCUCAACCUGGGAAGUGCAUUGGAAACUGUAAGACUUGAGUACGGGAGAGGGCAGUGGAAUUCCUAGUGUAGGAGUGAAAUUCGUAGAUAUUAGGAGGAACACCGGUGGCGAAGGCGGCUGCCUGGACCGAUACUGACGCUGAGACGCGAAAGCGUGGGGAGCAAACAGGAUUAGAUACCCUGGUAGUCCACGCCGUAAACGAUGAGUACUAGGUGUUGCGGGUAUUGACCCCUGCAGCGCC
RNAcentral lists this ribosomal RNA (803 nucleotides) under uncultured bacterium. Its description in RNAcentral is "bacterial SSU rRNA". It matches the Rfam family "Bacterial small subunit ribosomal RNA", at positions 66 to 847 of the family's 1533-position model. The record is from RNAcentral.